AUUGAACGCUGGCGGCAGGCCUAACACAUGCAAGUCGAGCGGAUGAAGGGAGCUUGCUCCUGGAUUCAGCGGCGGACGGGUGAGUAAUGCCUAGGAAUCUGCCUGGGCGUGGGGGAUAACGUCCGGAAACGGGCGCUAAUACCGCAUCCGCCCAGAGGGAGAAAGUGGGGGAUCUUCGGACCUCACGCUAUCAGAUGAGCCUAGGUCGGAUUAGCUAGUUGGUGGGGUAAAGGCCUACCAAGGCGACGAUCCGUAACUGGUCUGAGAGGAUGAUCAGUCACACUGGAACUGAGACACGGUCCAGACUCCUACGGGAGGCAGCAGUGGGGAAUAUUGGACAAUGGGCGAAAGCCUGAUCCAGCCAUGCCGCGUGUGUGAAGAAGGUCUUCGGAUUGUAAAGCACUUUAAGUUGGGAGGAAGGGCAGUAAGUUAAUACCUUGCUGUUUUGACGUUACCAACAGAAUAAGCACCGGCUAACUUCGUG
This 484-nucleotide ribosomal RNA is filed under the name uncultured bacterium. Its description in RNAcentral is "partial 16S ribosomal RNA". It matches the Rfam family "Bacterial small subunit ribosomal RNA", at positions 30 to 507 of the family's 1533-position model. The record is from RNAcentral.